RNAcentral lists this ribosomal RNA (498 nucleotides) under uncultured bacterium. RNAcentral's name for it is "partial 16S ribosomal RNA". It matches the Rfam family "Bacterial small subunit ribosomal RNA", at positions 29 to 507 of the family's 1533-position model. The record is from RNAcentral.
AUGCACGCUGGCGGCGUGCCUAAUACCUGCCAGUCGCGCGAACAGACGAGAGUGCUUGCACUCUCUGACGUUAGCGGCGGACGGGUGAGUAACACGUGGGUAACCUACCUAUAAGACUGGGAUAACUUCGGGAAACCGGAGCUAAUACCGGAUAAUAUUUAGCUUCGCAUGAAGCAAUAGUGAAAGACGGUUCUGCUGUCACUUAUAGAUGGACCCGCGGUGUAUUAGCUAGUUGGUGAGGUAACGGCUCACCAAGGCAACGAUACAUAGCCGACCUGAGAGGGUGAUCGGCCACACUGGGACUGAGACACGGCCCAGACUCCUACGGGAGGCAGCAGUAGGGAAUCUUCCGCAAAGGACGAAAGUCUGACGGAGCAAUGCCGCGUGAGUGAAGAAGGUUUUCGGAUCGUAAAACUCUGUUGUAAGGGAAGAACAAGUACGUUAGUAACUGAACGUACCUUGACGGUACCUUACCAGAAAGCCACGGCUAACUACGUG